CUAAGGAAUACGUCUCCUGCGACGGAGACAUACUGGAAGCAUAAGCUUCCAUACACAAACAUCACUCGUUGUCAGUUUUGAAAGGACAAUUCCUUUCACUUGUUUGGCGACUAUGGCGGAGGGGUUCCACGCGUUCCCAUCUCGAACACGACCGUUAAGCCCUCCAGCGCCGAUGGUACUUGGACCGCAGGGUCCUGGGAGAGCAGGACGUUGCCAAGCAAGUCUGCGACACGCAGAUUGCCGCCCUUCCCGGCGGCGAUGCGGGCCCUUAGCUCAGCUGGUUAGAGCGCACCCCUGAUAAGGGUGAGGUCGGUGGUUCGAGUCCACUAGGGCCCACCAUAUACGCUUUUAUAUCCCGUAUGGGGCCAUAGCUCAGCUGGGAGAGCGCCUGCCUUGCAAGCAGGAGGUCAGGAGUUCGAUCCUCCUUGGCUCCACCAUAAGAAUCAUUUUUUGAUUUUGUACCUUGAAAACUGAAUCGCGAAAGUAAAGCUUAGAAUCAUCCUUUAAUUUUAAAUAGGAGUUAAAAAGUUUACUUUUCAGCACCGAGAAGGUGAAGUAGAAGGAAACUUUUUGACCACCUAGCUA
This 585-nucleotide unclassified non-coding RNA is filed under the name Paenibacillus popilliae. The record is from RNAcentral. Lineage: Bacteria; Bacillati; Bacillota; Bacilli; Caryophanales; Paenibacillaceae.